UGCAGUCGAGCGGUAGCAAGAGAUCUUGCUUUCUGGUGACGACCGACGGAUGGGUGAGUAAUGUCUGGGAAACUGCCUGUUGGAGGGGGAUAUCUACUGGGAACGGUAACUAAUACCACAUACUGUCGCAAAACCCAAGUGGGGGACCUUCCGGCCUCUUGCCAUCGAAUGUGCCCCGAUGGGAUUAGCUAGUGGGUGGGGUAACGGCUCACGUAAGCAACUAUCCCUAGCUGGUCUGAAAGGAUGACCACCCUGACUGGAACUGACACACCGUCCUCACUCCUACGGGAGGCAUGGGUGGGGAAUAUUGCACAAUGGGCGCAAGCCCCAUGCAUCCCUGCCGCGUGUAUGAAGAAUGCCUUUUGGUUGUAAAUUACUUUCAGCGGGAAGGAACGUUAUUUAGUUAAUAACCUUGUUGAUUGUUAUUCCCCGCAUAAGAACCACCGGCUAACUCCGUGCCAGCAGCCGCGGUAAUACGGAGGGUGCAAGCGUUAAUCUUAAUUACUGGGCGUAAACCGCACGCAGGCGGUCUGUCUCAUCUGAUGUGUCAUCCCCCGGCUCUCCUGGGAACUGCAUUCACAACUGGCCUGCUAGUGUCUUGUAGGAUGGGGGUAGAAUUCCUGUGUAGCGGUGAAAUGCGUAGACAUCUGGAAGAAUACCGGUGGCGAGCGCCGCCCCCUGGACAAACACUGACGCUCAUGUGCAAAAUGUGGAGAGCACACAAGAUUAUAUACUCUGGUACUCCACCCCAUACAAUAUGUCGAUUUCGAUGUUGUGCUCGUGACUCGUGUCUUCCAGAUCUAACGAGUUAUAUACACCCGCGUGGGAGAGUAGUGCCGCAACGAUAACACACAUAAUGAAUUUCACGGGGCGCGCGC
Molecule: ribosomal RNA, 878 nt
Filed under: uncultured bacterium
Lineage: Bacteria
Description: bacterial SSU rRNA
Rfam family: Bacterial small subunit ribosomal RNA
Source: RNAcentral